Molecule: long non-coding RNA, 474 nt
Filed under: Homo sapiens (human)
Lineage: Eukaryota; Metazoa; Chordata; Mammalia; Primates; Hominidae
Description: novel transcript, antisense to PRCD
Source: RNAcentral
CCUCAGCGCGACCCUGGAGCUGGGGGUGUUUUUAAGUUUGGGGCGAGGCCGGUGAAGCCGAGGCGCGGGCGGCAAGGAGCGCUGGAGAGCGACGGGGCUCGGCCUCCGCGGCUGCCCAGGGGCCCGGGGCAUUCCGAGAAGAGAAAAAAAGCUUGUACUUAAAUACUUCCUGCGAAGUUUUGACUGAGACGCUGCAACAAUUCCCGAGCUGUUUCAUCGUGGCACCUUCCUGGUGGCAGGUGGAUUAGCACAUUGUCUGCAACCCAGGAGGACUUGGAGGAAAGUCCCAGCUCUGCUGAUUCUAGCUGAGUAACCUUGGCAAAGGUCACCUCACUUCUCUCUGAGUCUUAUUUUCUCAUCUGUAAAAUGAGGAGGAGGAGGAGGAUCAUCCAAACAUCACGGGACUUCGUUAAAUCAGUGCUUCGGGGCACUUAGCACAGCGCCUGGCGCAAGGUAAGCACUUGAUAAAUGGGA